UACGGAGGGUGCAAGCGUUAUCCGGAUUCACUGGGUUUAAAGGGUGCGUAGGCGGCGCGGUAAGUCGGGUGUGAAAUCUCGGAGCUUAACUCCGAAACUGCAUUCGAUACUGCCGUGCUUGAGGACUGGAGAGGAGACUGGAAUUUACGGUGUAGCGGUGAAAUGCGUAGAUAUCGUAAGGAAGACCAAUGGCGAAGGCGGGUCUCUGGACAGUUCCUGACGCUGAGGCACGAAGGUCAGGGGAGCAAACGGG
This 253-nucleotide ribosomal RNA is filed under the name uncultured bacterium. RNAcentral describes it as "partial 16S ribosomal RNA". It matches the Rfam family "Bacterial small subunit ribosomal RNA", at positions 524 to 776 of the family's 1533-position model. The record is from RNAcentral.